CAGUGUACAGAUGCUUUGCACUGUGGAAAUGAAACUUAGAUCAUUGCCUACUUAUCAGAAAGAAUAGACUAAAAAAAAUGGAACAAUUAUAUUUGUGUGACCAAACAAGCUAAUCGAUAUUUAUGAUUAAAGAAUAGUAAUGAAACUUUAAAUUUGUUCUCUUGGAGUUUGGACAUUUCAUUUCUAACUCCACUUUCUAAAAGCUUUCCUGUUGAAUUAAGUUUCUUUUG
RNAcentral lists this unclassified non-coding RNA (230 nucleotides) under Hevea brasiliensis (rubber tree). The record is from RNAcentral. Lineage: Eukaryota; Viridiplantae; Streptophyta; Magnoliopsida; Malpighiales; Euphorbiaceae.